This 513-nucleotide ribosomal RNA is filed under the name Streptococcus iniae. RNAcentral describes it as "bacterial SSU rRNA". It matches the Rfam family "Bacterial small subunit ribosomal RNA", at positions 13 to 508 of the family's 1533-position model. The record is from RNAcentral. Lineage: Bacteria; Bacillati; Bacillota; Bacilli; Lactobacillales; Streptococcaceae.
UUGAUCCUGGCUCAGGACGAACGCUGGCGGCGUGCCUAAUACAUGCAAGUAGAACGCUGAGGAUUGGUGCUUGCACUAAUCCAAAGAGUUGCGAACGGGUGAGUAACGCGUAGGUAACCUACCUCAUAGCGGGGGAUAACUAUUGGAAACGAUAGCUAAUACCGCAUGACACUAGAGUACACAUGUACUUAAGUUAAAAGGAGCAAUUGCUUCACUAUGAGAUGGACCUGCGUUGUAUUAGCUAGUUGGUGAGGUAACGGCUCACCAAGGCGACGAUACAUAGCCGACCUGAGAGGGUGAUCGGCCACACUGGGACUGAGACACGGCCCAGACUCCUACGGGAGGCAGCAGUAGGGAAUCUUCGGCAAUGGACGGAAGUCUGACCGAGCAACGCCGCGUGAGUGAAGAAGGUUUUCGGAUCGUAAAGCUCUGUUGUUAGAGAAGAACGGUAAUGGGAGUGGAAAAUCCAUUACGUGACGGUAACUAACCAGAAAGGGACGGCUAACUACGUGC